CGGCGCACGGGUGAGUAACACGUGGGUAAUCUACCUCGAGGAUUGGAAUAACAUGUCGAAAGACGUGCUAAUGCCAAGUAAGUUUUUCGAAUCGUAAUGAUUUGAUCUAGAAAGGUGGCGCAAGCUACCGCCUUGAGAUGAGCCUGCGCUCCAUUAGCUAGUUGGUGAGGUAAAAGCUUACCAAGGCUACGAUGGAUAGCUGGUCUGAGAGGAUGACCAGCCACACUGGAACUGAAACACGGUCCAGACUCCUACGGGAGGCAGCAGUAGGGAAUAUUGCGCAAUGGGGGAAACCCUGACGCAGCCACGCCGUGUGAGUGAGGAAGGCCUUCGGGUCGUAAAGCUCUGUCAUUUGGGAAGAAACUCCAUCCGGGGAAAGUUCGGGUGGAUUGACGGUACCAAAGAAGGAAGCACCGGCUAACUCUGUGCCAGCAGCCGCGGUAAUACAGAGGGUGCAAGCGUUGUUCGGAAUUACUGGGCGUAAAGCGUCUGUAGGCGGUGCUGAGAGUCCUAGGUGAAAUCCCCGAGCUUAACUCGGGAACUGCCUCGGAGACCUCAGUACUUGAGUACGAAAGGGGUUGCUGGAAUUCCAUGUGUAGCGGUGAAAUGCGUAGAUAUAUGGAGGAACACCUGUGGCGAAGGCGGGCAACUGGUUCGAGACUGACGCUGAGAGACGAAAGCGUGNGGAGCAAACAGGAUUAGAUACCCUGGUAGUCCACGCCGUAAACGAUGCA
This 734-nucleotide ribosomal RNA is filed under the name uncultured bacterium. Its description in RNAcentral is "bacterial SSU rRNA". It matches the Rfam family "Bacterial small subunit ribosomal RNA", at positions 96 to 813 of the family's 1533-position model. The record is from RNAcentral.